This 440-nucleotide ribosomal RNA is filed under the name uncultured bacterium. Its description in RNAcentral is "partial 16S ribosomal RNA". It matches the Rfam family "Bacterial small subunit ribosomal RNA", at positions 338 to 795 of the family's 1533-position model. The record is from RNAcentral.
CCUACGGGGGGCAGCAGUGGGGAAUAUUGCACAAUGGGGGAAACCCUGAUGCAGCGACGCCGCGUGAGUGAAGAAGUAUUUCGGUAUGUAAAGCUCUAUCAGCAGGGAAGAAAAUGACGGUACCUGAGUAAGAAGCCACGGCUAACGACGUGCCAGCAGCCGCGGUAAUACGUAGGGGGCAAGCGUUAUCCGGAUUUACUGGGUGUAAAGGGAGCGUAGACGGCAGCACAAGUCUGGAGUGAAAUGCCGGGGCUUAACCCCGGAACUGCUUUGUAAACUGUGCAGCUAGAGUGCAGGAGAGGUAAGUGGAAUUCCUAGUGUCGCCGUGAAAUGCGUAGAUAUUAGGAGGACCACCAGUGGCGCAGGCGGCUUACUGGACUGUAACUGACGUUGAGGCUCGAAAGCGUGGGGAGCAAACAGGAUUAGAUACCCCAGUAGUC